GGGUGAGUAAACCGUAGGUAAUCUACCUUUGGGUGGGGAAUAACAACCGGAAACGGUUGCUAAUACCGCAUAAUGCAGCGGCACCGCAUGGUGACAGUUGUUAAAGCGGGGGAUCGCAAGACCUCGCGCCUAAAGAGGAGCCUGUGGCGGAUUAGCUAGUUGGCAGGGUAACGGCCUACCAAGGCGACGAUCCGUAGCCGGCCUGAGAGGAUGAUCAGCCACAUUGGGACUGAGACACGGCCAAACUCCUACGGGAGGCAGCAGUGGGGAAUAUUGGACAAUGGGCGCAAGCCUGAUCCAGCCAUGCCGCGUGAGUGAUGAAGGCCCUAGGGUUGUAAAGCUCUUUCACCGGUGAAGAUAAUGACGGUAACCGGAGAAGAAGCCCCGGCUAACUUCGUGCCAGCAGCCGCGGUAAUACGGAAGGGGCAAGCGUGUCCGGAAUCAUCGGAGCGUACAGGGCGCGUAGCGGCUUUUCAAAGUG
RNAcentral lists this ribosomal RNA (481 nucleotides) under uncultured bacterium. Its description in RNAcentral is "bacterial SSU rRNA". It matches the Rfam family "Bacterial small subunit ribosomal RNA", at positions 104 to 589 of the family's 1533-position model. The record is from RNAcentral.